AAUGAACGCUGGCGGCAGGCCUAAAACAUGCAAGUCGAACGGUAACAGGUCUUCGGAUGCUGACGAGUGGCGCACGGGUGAGUAACACGUGGGAAUAUGCCUUUUGGUACGGAACAACAGUUGGAAACGACUGCUAAUACCGUAUGGUCCCUUCGGGGUAAAGAUUUAUCGCCAAAAGAUUAGCCCGCGUUGGAUUAGCUAGUUGGUAGGGUAAUGGCCUACCAAGGCUACGAUCUAUAGCUGGUCUGAGAGGAUGAUCAGCCACACUGGAACUGAGACACGGUCCAGACUCCUACGGGAGGCAGCAGUUAGGAAUAUUGGACAAUGGCCGCAAGCCUGAUCCAGCCAUGCCGCGUGAGUGAUGAAGGCCUUCGGGUUGUAAAGCUCUUUAGCCGACGAAUAUAAUGACUGUAGUCGGAAAAUAAGCCCCGGCUAACUUCGUGCCAGCAGCCGCCGUAA
Molecule: ribosomal RNA, 459 nt
Filed under: uncultured bacterium
Lineage: Bacteria
Description: partial 16S ribosomal RNA
Rfam family: Bacterial small subunit ribosomal RNA
Source: RNAcentral